CCAAUAGCGUAUAUUAAAGUUGUUGCAGUUAAAAAGCUCGUAGUUGAAUUUCGGGGUUAGUAGGUUGGUCAUGCCUCUGGUAUGUACUGGUCUCACUGAUUCCUCCUUCCUGAUGAGCUGUAAUGCCAUUAAUUUGGUGUUGCAGGGAAUCUGGACUGUUACUUUGAAAAAAUUAGAGUGUUUAAAGCAGGCUAACGCUUGAAUACAUUAGCAUGGAAUAAUGAAAUAGGACGUUCGAUCCUAUUUUGUUGGUUUCUAGGAUUGACGUAAUGAUUAAUAGGGAUAGUUGGGGGCAUUAGUAUUCAAUUGUCAGAGGUGAAAUUCUUGGAUUUAUUGAAGACUAACUACUGCGAAAGCAUUUGCCAAGGAUGUUUUCAUUAAUCAAGAACGAAAGUUAGGGGAUCGAAGACGAUCAGAUACCGUCGUAGUCUUAACCAUAAACUAUGCCGACUAGGGAUCGGAUGAUGUUAAUUUUUUAAUGACUCAUUCGGCGCCUUACG
RNAcentral lists this ribosomal RNA (500 nucleotides) under uncultured Glomeromycotina. RNAcentral describes it as "SSU rRNA". It matches the Rfam family "Eukaryotic small subunit ribosomal RNA", at positions 591 to 1092 of the family's 1831-position model. The record is from RNAcentral. Lineage: Eukaryota; Fungi; Glomeromycota.